Molecule: long non-coding RNA, 5526 nt
Filed under: Panax ginseng (ginseng)
Lineage: Eukaryota; Viridiplantae; Streptophyta; Magnoliopsida; Apiales; Araliaceae
Description: long non-coding RNA (PGIN_LNC008928)
Source: RNAcentral
UCAACCUCACGAUUAAUCCGUUUUUUUGUUUUCCGUACUUUGGAUAUUUUCUGUGCUUUCAGGAAACAGAUUUGUGCCCUAGCUCUAAAUUUCGUUUCAGAUAUUGCGUGUUCUUUAGUUGGUGUGUUGAUUUUGCCUGAUUUGUCUUUGUUUUCUCUGAUGGUUGUUUUUGAUUUCUGAUGGAACUAGGGUUUCAUAUCUCCACACCUCUCUUCUAAUUGUAGACCUAAUCAUCGUUCUUGGCCUCCCAAUCCAACACCACUGUGAGUACUGACUCCUUAAUUACAUGUAAUUUUUUUGAAUCAAUAUGUUCAAUGGGGUUGCACCUUUUAGAUUGUUUGCAUGGAAAUUAUUAUUGUUAAUCUUUUUUAUAGGCUUAUAUUUGAAGUUGCAGAAUUACUCUCUUCGAAAAAACAGCUAAUUGUUUCUGAUCACGAUUAAUUACCCUCUUGCUACAUAGUUGAAUACAAUGAAGUACUUCUAUUAAUUUUUGUUUUCUGUAUUUCAUAUGGUCCAAUUUGAUGGGGGACGGGGUUUUGGGACGAAGGUAAAUAUCAUACGGAUAAUCUUUACACAAAACUAAAUCAAUUAUAAUUAUUCAAUGUAUAUAAUAAUGAAUUACAUCACUAUUUAUAAUACUUUUAGACAACUUUCCUAAUCUAAGAUAACUGCAAAUUAAAGAAACUAAACAACUUCUAUUUCAUGGGCUUUCAAAGUCUUAUAUUGUUCUAACCAAUUUUCACACGCUCGUCCUACAUCAUUUCUCCUUUGCUGAAAAAAACACGACUACGUCGAGUUAAAAACAUCACCACGAGAAUAAGCACGCUGGAUCACCAAGGAAUUCUUUGCAAACUUGAAAGUUGGCAUGUCGAUAGCACAUGUAAGAGUGAACCUGAUAUGACUUUUGAUAAUUGAAUAGAUAUUAGCACGAGCAUCAUGUUGCGCACGACUAUUCCAUAAUCAUGUACGCCCUAAGAUAAUGUUACAAACAUUAAGGGGUAGAAUAUCACACAUAACGGUAUCCUUAAGCUUGCCAACGGAAAAUGUAACUGAACACCUCUGGGUAACCUGAACACCUCUGGGUAAGCUUGCCAACUUUGUAUUGGCUCAACUUUUAACCAAAGCUUAUUAAUUGCUUCCUCUGAUAUAACUUCCGUACAACUCUCAGUAUCAAUCAGAAGAGAGCAUACCUGUCCCGCACAUAUAACGCUCGUCUGAAAAAUUCGCCCACGAUGAAUUUGAAAAUCAUCCUUAUGUUUUUAAGCAACAAGUAAAUGUUGAAGAACACCUAAACUUCAUUCCAAAUGAGCAUUAACUUCUAAAUCUUGCUCACCAGGUUCAUAUUUGUCGUCCAUCGGCUUGCAAACCUAAGGCUGUAAACGAAACAAACAGUUCAGGCUCGACUCGAAAAAAUGCGAGCGAGACUCGGAUUCGUUAAUAAUAUGAUCCAAAUUUGAGCUUAAAAAAUAGUUCGAAUAAAAAUGAGUAGAAUCCGAGCUAGGUUAUACUCGACUCGUUUAAGAUUCAAACAACUCGAAUUCUCAAUUGUGAUUCGAUACAUACUCGAUCGAUAUAGAUUCGAUUAGAUACUCGAUACAUUAUCUAAUAAUAUAUAUAAAAUUAAAUCAAAUUAGGUUAAUUAAUUAUUAUUAUUUGUUUUAUUUUAAAUUUUAAUUGUGAUUUUAUAUUUGUAAAGUGUAAUAGUAAAUAUAUUUUCUCAUUUUUAAGUAAAAUAGCAAAUUCAAUUUAUAAUUAUAUUUAUUAUAAAGCUAGUUAUUAUGUGGAAACUCGAAUUCGAGCUUGAAUUUGAAGCUCGCUAGUAGUUUGAAUAUAAUUCGAUUCGAGUCAAAUUUGAUCAAAUUCAAGUAAUAAAUAUUCGAGACGAGUCGAAUCUGAGUAAAAUUUUUCAAAUACAAUUCGAAUUCGAGUUUGAAUUUAACGUUUCGAGUCAAAUUCGAGUAGCUCUCUGUUCGUUUCAAUUCGACUCGUUUACACCCUUAUGCAAACCUCUUCGUUUAAGUCGGUUUUCUUGCACGCUUUGUCAACAAUAGCAAGUUGCCUAGAGGGAGAAGAGGCAACAUUCAUCUUCGGGGAAGGACGCUCAAAAGACGUGUGCACUUAGACGUGGUUGGCUAGCAUUAGAAGAACCCGGGGUACGAUUAGGCCUGCUAGUAAUUGAAGGGUUUGUUGACGAUCUUUGCAUUGACCUAUUUAAAAUAGGCUCCACAAAAGUACGCUCCCUCCGAGUUUGGACUUGAUUUGGUAGCCUAACAUAUUCCUUUUCAAAUUAUCCUCUACUUGGGUGGCAACUUGAACAUCAUCAUCCAAGAGCAAUUUACCUAUAUCUACACCACCAAUCUCCAGAUUCAAUCCUCGACUGUACAUGAAAAUUAUAACUCAAGGAAAUUCAAACCGUGUAACCAAACUGUAGAAUAUUAAAGUAUACUUGGCUACAGAUUUACUUCUUUGUACCAACUUAGUUAACUGCCAAUAUGCUCGUUGUUUAUACUCCGAAGGUACAAAACGUCGUGUCAAUGCAACUUUCAUAUCUUCCCAUCUUCUUGCAGUUGUAUACAAAUUUCGCUGAUGUUGAUCCCACCAAAUAUGAGUUGUUCCUUUCAACUUCGCUUUACCAAAUAAAAGUUUCUUUUCAUCGGAUAAUUCAUACCAACGAAAGAAAAUCUCCAAACUAUUAAUCCAAUCGAAGAAUGUUUUGGGACCAUUAUCGCCAUUGAAAUCUCCAACAUCUAAUUUUGCUACUCUAUCCACUGCAUUCAUUCUAGUCUAAAAUAUGAGGAUUAACUCGUGGAUUAGGGUUAUGUUGUAGUCUCAGAUGAUUAAGAUCUGCGAUGUGGUGUUCAAAAUUCUUAUUAGCAUCUUCUUGUCCAUUAUCUACGUGUUCCGUGAGUACAUGAAAGCCUGAACAUUUUCGGUAAGUGUUGUGAUUGAAUCUUCAAUCCUUUUAAGACGCUUGGCGUUGAUUUUUCCAGCAUUUACCAUAGUUCUUGCAAAUAAAAAUAUAGAUUUUUUUUUAUUUGCUCCAAGGACUUAAGUGCAUAAAGUAUAAAGAAACAAGAGCUGAACUGAAACUACUGAAACUUCGAGGUUGAAAUGGAUGAAAAUGAAACUACAAGGACUGAUAUGUAAAAUUUCAGGGGUAUUUUGAAAUUUAAGAAAACUUGGGGGACUAAACUAAAAGGCUAUAAACACUAUUAUGGGGUACCUAACUUUAAUUAGCCAGAAGUUAUUUAAUACUUCAGAGCUGUUUUAAUUCUUCAGAUUUGUUCUCUGUUUUUGUUUUCUAUCCUUGAAUGUAACUAUAAGAAAAAAAGGUUAGGAGCAGGAGCAGGAGCAGGAGCAGCAGCAGCAGCAAGAUAAUAGGAGGAAGAUAGGAGGAAGGGUAAGGAGAGCAUCAGGCUUACAAGAGAAGAUAAGGAUGGCAACCACAGUAAAAAGCGGUUGCGGAGAUGGCAGAAUGUAGUAGCGAUGACUUUUCUCUUCUUCUACCUUUCUUUUUUUCUUGUUCGUGUGGUUGAUUUCUGAGGAAGGGGGUGGAAUAAGGUUGUGUUUGGUAGAUUAUGGCUAGUGUUUAUGUCUUCUGUUUUGACAUGAUGCAAAUAGGUUGGGCAAAUUUGAUGUAGCAGGGCUUUGUUCGACUAGGGUUUUCUUACUUGGAUUUAGUCACCGAUUUUGGGACGACGUAGAAGGUUGUGGUUUUGGGUUGGGCACUGAUACCAAAAUAAUGAAGUACAUGCUAUUUAUAAUGUUCGAAAAAGCUAAAAUCGGUACGAGGCGUUUUUUUCUGGGCUAUGCAAGGCGUAAACCUCGAGGCGGAGCUAGGUGGAAGCCUUGAUUUAAAGACCUAAAAGUCCCCAAAAAAUUAUGAAAAAAUACUAAUAAAACCAUAAAAUAAUUCAUCAUUACAAUUAAGGUCAUAGAAGACAUAAAUAACCAACGUCACAGUAAUGUAUCAUUACAAAACAUCAAAAUAACAUAAUAUCAUCAAGUACUUAUAUAGUGAAUAAAAAAAAUUAUCUAAUUAUUACUAACAUGUUUAUUGUUUUUAAAAAUUACUACUUGAAUAACAUCAAUAUUUUGAAUUUAAAAACUCAAACUUCAUCUAAUAUUUUUGAGGGGAUGAAGUUUUAGUUAUGGAGGUAUUUAAAGUCAAUUACUUAAUUAGGUUAAUUAUUUGGAUAUUAAAUUAUACAGAUUGAAGUUACAUGGCUAGCUAUACAAUAAUACAAGAUUGGAAGCAAUCUAUUUUAUUUGGGAAUAUAUCUAUAGUAAAUAUUUUGUUUUUAGGAAAUAAAGGUAAUAUUAAAGUAAAAUUGAUUUAGACAUUUAUUACAAUCAAUUUAUGUUUUUUUUUUAUUUUUAAGAAAAGCACAAUUUGUUAACUCAACAGUUAUCCUGGUUAUUUAUUUCUUUGAUAAUUAGUCACCCAUAACCAUAAAGAAAUCAGUGUGGUAAGAGCAUUAAAUAAUAUCUUAAAAUUUGGAACUCAAAAUAGAAAAAAAAAACAAAACAGAAGAAAUCAGAAAAGAAAAAAGAAAACGGAGGAAGAAACGAAAAACAAUAUAAAAAAAACAGAGACGUAAGCAGGAAACACAAAGAGGAAGAAGAAACGAAAAAGAGGAAGAAGGAGACGCAAGAAGAAAAGAAAAAGAAGGAGAAGAGCAAUCGAAGAGGCGCGACUCGCGGUGACAGUCAGAAGGAGAAGGAGAAGAAGAAGAAGAAGAAGAAGUAGAAGAAGAAGAAAGAUAUCUGGAGAAAGGAGGAAGUAGCAGUCGAAGAGAAGAAAGGAGAAAGGAGCAGUCUUUGUGACGCACGCCUCUUCGGUAAGUCAAGUCGAAUCUGCUCUAUUUAGGGUUUUUUAAAGGCCAAAUCGAGGUGCACGCCUCGCGACGCCUUGAGGCGCAACGCCACGAGGCGUAAGCUUCGACUGGAAAAGGUGCAGGCUUCUACGAUUCCAAACUAAGCGGUCGUCUCGCGAACUCCUUCCGCCUCGCUACGAGGCGCGCGCUAUUUCGAACCUUGACUAUUUAUAAUACUCUUAGACAACUUUCCUAACCUAACUUGAACUCUAAUAAGAUAACUACAAAUCAAAUAAGAUAACUGCAAAUUAAAGAAACUAAAUAACUUCUACUUCAUGGGCUUUCAAAGCCUCUUAUAUUGUUCUAACCAAAUUGUACGGACUCGUCCUACAUCACAAUACCUUGAGGUUUUAUAGGCUUUUGUUUAGAGUUAUAUAAUUCUUUUUCUUAAGAAAAAAAUUGCCAUAUUUUGUUUUGAUGAUUAAUUAUCUGAAUGUGACCGUUGUCAAAGUAGUCCAAAUUAUUUGGUUGUCCAUUUUUUUUUAAAUUUGUGGGUUAUUUUUUGUUAAAACAAACAUUGUUCAAGACUUAUUGGGAGAUAUGCAUCUUAUGAAUGUAAUUUUUGUUUUUGUUUUUUCCUUUGACCAUUGUACUAUAGCAGGGUGGCAGUAGGAGGUAAUGUGGUAAUGUUAGUAGAUGUAAGUAUGGC